CAGGAUUCAGGGGACCGCAGUCAGCCUGAUCCGCUGGCAGGUCUCGAUGACACAAAGUCAACUCGAGCCGCAACUGGCAGGAUUCAGGGGACCGUAGUCAGCCUGAUCCGCAAUUCUGGCAGACCUCGGCGACACCAAGUCAACCGAGCUGCAAAUCCUGGCAGACCUCGGCGACACCAAGUCAAACCGAGCUGCAAAUCCUGGUACUCACGGUCCGAG
Molecule: long non-coding RNA, 219 nt
Filed under: Prunus persica (peach)
Lineage: Eukaryota; Viridiplantae; Streptophyta; Magnoliopsida; Rosales; Rosaceae
Description: long non-coding RNA (PPER_LNC007697)
Source: RNAcentral